Papaver somniferum (opium poppy) is the source of this 843-nucleotide long non-coding RNA. RefSeq lists it as uncharacterized. NCBI's taxonomy places the organism in Eukaryota, Viridiplantae, Streptophyta, Magnoliopsida, Ranunculales, Papaveraceae. The record is from RefSeq and is a predicted model, not a curated record. The transcript has 4 exons.
CGUAUUUUGCUCUUAUCUCUUUUUCUCUCUUAUUUUCAUUUUCACUCAUUUAUUUCAGACUCGUUUUUCGCUCUAUCUUUCCUUCUGAGAAAUCUCAAACCCAUAGAUCUAUUUUAUUUCCGAGAAAUCACAGGAAUCAAAACCUUCACUUUUAACCAAAUUAAAACAUAUACUCGUAAUCAAAACCCAAAGUUGAAAAUCUAGAAAACCAAAUCAAAACCCAAAAAUAUCCAUCUAAAACCUAGAAAAUCAAUUUGUUCGUGAAAUCGAAAAUCAGUUCAUCCAUAGUUGAUUUCUUUGUUGAUUUUCAAGAGGUUUUGUAGAGUAAAAUUGCGGCUCUAAGGACUUGAAAGGUCAAUGGAACAAAUGCAAAGCACAUCUAAAGGUACGACAUCACAGCAAAAUAUAGGAGUGCCCAUCAAUUAUGGUGGUAACAAGCAGGUCAAAGUUACAGAACGAAGAGAACCAAAACUAGCAGAACUAGCUAAUGCAUUGGAUCAAUAUUUUUGUGUGUCUAAGAUAUCAUUGCAUCCGAGGCACAUGAAGCCUCACCAAAUUCAAGGUUUCAACUUCUUGCUUAGAAACGCAGUCGAUGAAGGUGAUGCCCAGUCAUUAUGUGAGGCAAUUGCGGGUCAUGUUUUUGUGUUAUCGACCAUUUUGUAUUUUCAAAUUCAGAAACUUGGGUUCUUGACAAAAGUCAGUACAAUCUUUGAAUCAACCAAAUAAUUGUAUGGGUUUAUGAUAGUCAUCUAUUAAAUUCUUAUGAGGAAUUCAUAAAUUGCAAGUUGAUACGAAUAUAUAUGUAUAGUUCUAUAUUGUGAUAAUCAAUCAUAUGUUUGUGAU